UGGGGUGUAGCUCAGUGAUAGAGCACUUGCCUAGUAUGCACAAGGCCCUAGGUUCAAUCUCUAGUAACACAC
Molecule: transfer RNA, 72 nt
Filed under: Ictidomys tridecemlineatus (thirteen-lined ground squirrel)
Lineage: Eukaryota; Metazoa; Chordata; Mammalia; Rodentia; Sciuridae
Also listed under: 1 other name
Description: Spermophilus tridecemlineatus (thirteen-lined ground squirrel) tRNA
Rfam family: tRNA
About the family: Transfer RNA (tRNA) molecules are approximately 80 nucleotides in length. Their secondary structure includes four short double-helical elements and three loops (D, anti-codon, and T loops). Further hydrogen bonds mediate the characteristic L-shaped molecular structure. tRNAs have two regions of fundamental functional importance: the anti-codon, which is responsible for specific mRNA codon recognition, and the 3' end, to which the tRNAs corresponding amino acid is attached (by aminoacyl-tRNA synthetases). tRNAs cope with the degeneracy of the genetic code in two manners: having more than one tRNA (with a specific anti-codon) for a particular amino acid; and 'wobble' base-pairing, i.e. permitting non-standard base-pairing at the 3rd anti-codon position.
Source: Rfam by way of RNAcentral